RNAcentral lists this long non-coding RNA (231 nucleotides) under Arabidopsis lyrata. RNAcentral describes it as "long non-coding RNA (ALYR_LNC002494)". Lineage: Eukaryota; Viridiplantae; Streptophyta; Magnoliopsida; Brassicales; Brassicaceae. The record is from RNAcentral.
AAAUCAACCUAGAUCUAAUGACGGUGGCGCUAUGACGGAAGUAUUAACGGAAAAAGUAGAAAAUGCAAGAAAUCAAGAUCAGAGAGAAGAGAACGAACCUUGAAAAUUUUCCUUUGCAAUUGCGAAAUGAAAAAAUGAAUCGAAGGCUUAGCAUUUAUAGAGAUUUGGGGCGCGUCGGGUACGAACGAGCCAAAUAAAACACAUCGAAUCCGCGUCUGAGGCGCGUCGGGC